RNAcentral lists this ribosomal RNA (424 nucleotides) under uncultured prokaryote. RNAcentral describes it as "bacterial SSU rRNA". It matches the Rfam family "Bacterial small subunit ribosomal RNA", at positions 355 to 796 of the family's 1533-position model. The record is from RNAcentral.
UGGGGAAUCUUAGACAAUGGGCGAAAGCCUGAUCUAGCGAUGCCGCGUGAGUGACGAAGGCCCUAGGGUCGUAAAGCUCUUUCGCCAGGGAUGAUAAUGACAGUACCUGGUAAAGAAACCCCGGCUAACUCCGUGCCAGCAGCCGCGGUAAUACGGAGGGGGUUAGCGUUGUUCGGAAUUACUGGGCGUAAAGCGCGCGUAGGCGGAUUGGAAAGUUGGGGGUGAAAUCCCGGGGCUCAACCCCGGAACUGCCUCCAAAACUAUCAGUCUAGAGUUCGAGAGAGGUGAGUGGAAUUCCAAGUGUAGAGGUGAAAUUCGUAGAUAUUUGGAGGAACACCAGUGGCGAAGGCGGCUCACUGGCUCGAUACUGACGCUGAGGUGCGAAAGUGUGGGGAGCAAACAGGAUUAGAUACCCCCGUAGUCC